GAUGAAGAACGUAGCGAAAUGCGAUAACUAAUGUGAAUUGCAGAAUUCAGUGAAUCAUCGAGUCUUUGAACGCACAUUGCGCCCCCUGGUAUUCCGGGGGGCAUGCCUGUCCGAGCGUCAUUGCUGCCCUCAAGCACGGCUUGUGUGUUGGGCUCCGUCCCCCCGGGGACGGGCCCGAAAGGCAGCGGCGGCACCGAGUCCGGUCCUCGAGCGUAUGGGGCUUUGUCACCCGCUCUGUAGGCCCGGCCGGCGCCAGCCGACAACCCAUCAUCCUUUUCAGGUUGACCUCGGAUCAGGUAGGGAUACCCGCUGAACUUAAGCAUAACAAUAAGCGGAGGA
Molecule: unclassified non-coding RNA, 339 nt
Filed under: soil metagenome
Description: partial contains 5.8S ribosomal RNA, internal transcribed spacer 2, and large subunit ribosomal RNA
Rfam family: 5.8S ribosomal RNA (bases 1-120)
Source: RNAcentral